AGAGUUUGAUCCUGGCUCAGAUUGAACGCUGGCGGCAUGCCUUACACAUGCAAGUCGAACGGCAGCACGGGGGGCGACCCCUGGUGGCGAGUGGCGAACGGGUGAGUAAUGCAUCGGAACGUGCCCGGUAGUGGGGGAUAACCCCGAGAAAUCGGGGCUAAUACCGCAUGAGCCCGGGAGGGGAAAGCGGGGGACCUGAUGAGGGCCUCGCGCUAUCGGAGCGGCCGAUGUCCGAUUAGCUGGUUGGUGGGGUAAAGGCCCACCAAGGCGACGAUCGGUAGCGGGUCUGAGAGGACGGCCCGCCACACUGGGACUGAGACACGGCCCAGACUCCUACGGGAGGCAGCAGUGGGGAAUUUUGGACAAUGGGCGAAAGCCUGAUCCAGCCAUGCCGCGUGCGGGAAGAAGGCCUUCGGGUUGUAAACCGCUUUCGGCCGGGACGAAAUCGCCCGCAUGAACAGUGUGGGUGGAUGACGGUACUGGCAGAAGAAGCACCGGCUAACUACGUGCCAGCAGCCGCGGUAAUACGUAGGGUGCGAGCGUUAAUCGGAAUUACUGGGCGUAAAGCGUGCGCAGGCGGCCCUUUAAGUCAGGUGUGAAAGCCCCGGGCUUAACCUGGGAAUGGCGCUUGAAACUGGAGGGCUUGGAGUGCGGCAGAGGGGGGUGGAAUUCCUGGUGUAGCGGUGAAAUGCGUAGAGAUCAGGAGGAACACCGAUGGCGAAGGCAGCCCCCUG
RNAcentral lists this ribosomal RNA (734 nucleotides) under uncultured beta proteobacterium. RNAcentral's name for it is "bacterial SSU rRNA". It matches the Rfam family "Bacterial small subunit ribosomal RNA", at positions 8 to 731 of the family's 1533-position model. The record is from RNAcentral. Lineage: Bacteria; Pseudomonadati; Pseudomonadota; Betaproteobacteria.